Zonotrichia albicollis (white-throated sparrow) is the source of this 2890-nucleotide non-coding RNA. The record is from RefSeq and is a predicted model, not a curated record. NCBI's taxonomy places the organism in Eukaryota, Metazoa, Chordata, Aves, Passeriformes, Passerellidae.
CUGGGCUUCGGUACACUGCUGCACGAGGAAGUCGAAAUAAACAUUUAUACCAGUUUUAUUCUUAACAAAUUUAAGCUAACUUUAGUCAAGCAUCCUUUUUUUGUUGGUUUUUACUUUUUUUUAAAGAAUGAACGAAAGAAAGAAAAAGGGAAAGGGGGAAAAAAAGGAAGGAGUACUUCAAAUUUUUGAGCCGAUCUGCAGCAUCAAGGGAUGUGGCAUCUGAAGCAAUGAAGUAAUGAGAAGCCAUGUGUCCAGGUACUCUCACAAAGGAUAUGAGAUGUCCAUCCCAGCCAAAAGUCCAGGAUUUCUACAGUAGCAACAAUCAGAGCAUCGGGACACUUUGGAGGAACAUAAGGCAACAAACUGACAGCCGGCUGGACCUAAUGCAACAGAAAAGCAAUCUAAUCCCCUGGGUGACCCAGGGGCAGUCCUGGUAAAGCAGCAAAAGUGAAUCGUCCUCACUGGAAGAGGAGCUGAAAGAUUGGAAUAGUGUCAGAGCAGUCACUGUCUCAGCAAGCUAUGCCUCAUGGUGAUCUACUCAUCCCAAUGAUUUGAGAAGGAGCUUCUCCAGCACUGGAACAUCUACAAAGUAAACAGAAGAAAAUGUAUACCUCCAUUUUGCAUAUACUACUGGGGCAUCAAAUGGAGAAUAUACUGUCACCUUCCCAAGGAAAUACAAAUAUAUGAUGUUAAAUAUAUACAAAAUAUGUGAAACCAUCUCUGCCAUUGACAUGAAAAUAUGAUCUAUCUGUACAUGUGCUUGGAUACUUGGAAAGAAACUAAUGUCUUAAAGCUGUAACACAUCCUGGUGAGUUCAUGACAAUGAUGACAGUCUCUAAACACUUCAAUGAGGAGUUGCCUCAGUCUCUUUGAAGCUCAGCCUGAUGCUAAGCCAUGCUCCAUUUUAAAGCACUGCCUUCAACUUUGGUGAUUUCAUCAAAUGACUGGAUUGCCUUGCAGUGGGAUAACCUAAUCUUCACUCCAUACUUUCUGCUCAUAAGCCACUUGAAAAACUGUUUGCAGUUUGGUCUUGGAGUGUAUAUUCUGCACUUGAAUGGUGUGGUUUUGGCUUCAGACCCUAUUGAAAGGGGAAACAAAUCUAAGACAUGACCACCUCCACCCUGCCUCCAAAAAACAAAAACCACCACAUUGAGAAAACCAUUCCAUUACUGUCUACUGCUCUAAAAUUAAAUGACAGAAACAACACAAAAAACCAAUUAGAUUUCCCCUGUUGAUUUUUAUAGCUUGCAUGUUACAGAAGUCAUAGCUUCCCUCUAAUUUCACUCCAGUAUGGAUCAGGCAUCAUUCCACAGCAAUAACAGGAACCAAACCCAUGGGAGGCACAAUUUUGGUGAACUUUUUUUUUCCCAUCCACAGCACAAACCCCAUUUAAUCCUGAAACACUAAAAUUAGAAAUAUCUUUUUCUACAUUUCCAAUGUCGUUUUAGUAAUUUCCCAGCUCUAUCAUUUGAAUUUGUUCAAUUUGUUGAAUUUCCACCUUGAAAACAUGUUAGUAUUAAUACCUGAAGUAAUGGAAUAGAUACAAGUUGAGUGCCUGGAUUUCCCAUGACACUGCUGUUGGAGAGAAUACUGAUCUGUAUUCCAGAGCAAUUGUAGGACACUCAAGUUGUCACUGGACUUAAAAUUAAGACUUGAUAAAACUGCUGCAUUUAGGAAAAAAUAUUUAGCUGUGUCAAUUAUAUUUUGACUUCUGAGGCUUGCAACUGUUUCAUGGCAGAAUGCUGAAAAAGAGGCAGCUGUGUCUAUGAUGGAAAGCACUCAUAUAAGUGUAUUGGUAAAAAAAGCGAACACAUUAUAGGCAAUAGAAUGUCCAUUUUUUAAGCAGCAAGAUAAGAUUUUUAAUAUUCAUCAAGUAUGGCAAUAAUUUUUUUUCUAGAUUUGUUGAUCACUUACUUGUUUGAAAAUAAGGGUGACGUUCUGCCAUAGCCUUUCUUUGCAGGCAAAUGGGCUAGAUAACAGCUACAGGCAUUUUUCUGUGUGAGGAAAUUGAAUAAAGACAGUCCAGGCUCCUCUCUGGAGCCAGGGACCAGCCGCAGAGCCAGCCGCAUUGCCCAUCAAACUUGCAGCUACAAUUGAUUUAAAAUAACUCAGCGGCAAUUAUUCCAGAAUAAAACCUUAUUUCUUCGUUGACGAUGUGAUCCGAUGCUAGGCUGUAGUCAGUGUUGUCAAGGCAUGGGAGAGACCUUACCUCGGGACUGCUGCUUGGAACCCGAGCAGUCCCCAGUGCCCUCAGCGUGGACACUCCAGGCGAACCGCUGGGGGGUUUUAAAUAGAUUUUUUUAAAUCUGGGGUCUCUGAAGCAGCAACUUGCAGGUCAGACCCAUCAACAGAGUGUCUAUUGUACUGAACAAAGAGCCCUGGUAGAGGCUGGGGAAGGCUCCGAGCCCCUCUCCGACAGCCGGGGUGCGAACUGCAGCCCCGUAGUUGCCGCCGGCCGGGGGCAGCUCCCGCCGGGUGCGGGGCUUUGAGCAUCCCCGUCUGCCCGUGCUGCCCCAACACCUGCGGCAGCAUUAGCCAGGCUCGGGCAUUCAUCGUCGCUCUGCAAACUAAGUGUCGAAAGCCCCCGCAAAGCAACCAACAAAAACCUGCAAAGGGGAAACCGCUGUAAUCAAGCGGCGGAGCUCUGGGGAUUUGGAGACGAGCGUGGAGAGAGUUCAGAUCAAAUGGGAUUUAAAUGUAAACAGCAGUAACUGCAUAUGAUCAAUAAUCACCUCGUGUGCAUUCCUCUACUCAUUUAACAUCAGCUAGGACAGUGCAAAUAUUGCAAGGGAGUACUCGACAAGGAAAUCAGCUGAGCGUGUGUUUAAACUGUGGUCUAUUAUUAAUAUGAACAAUUCUUUUCAAUUAAAAGUUUCAUUUAAUCCCCUCA